CAGCGCCACAAGUGGGAACCACGUUUAUUGGGCCUAAAGCAUCCGUAGCCGGCGCUGUAAGUUUUCGGUUAAAUCUGUACGCUCAACGUACAGGCUGCCGGGAAUACUGCAGCGCUAGGGAGUGGGAGAGGUAGACGGUACUCGGUAGGAAGGGGUAAAAUCCUUUGAUCUAUUGAUGACCACCUGUGGCGAAGGCGGUCUACCAGAACACGUCCGACGGUGAGGGAUGAAAGCUGGGGGAGCAAACCGGAUUAGAUACCCGAGUAGUCC
This 270-nucleotide ribosomal RNA is filed under the name uncultured archaeon. Its description in RNAcentral is "partial 16S ribosomal RNA". It matches the Rfam family "Archaeal small subunit ribosomal RNA", at positions 477 to 747 of the family's 1478-position model. The record is from RNAcentral.